UGGAGAGAUGGUUUAGCGGUUUAAAAACUGGUUGCCCUUGUAGAGGAGCCACGUGAUGACUCAUAACCACCUGUAACUCCAGUUCCAGAGACUCCAACGCCUCUGUGGGCACCAGGCACACACACAGCACACAAGCAAAACGCCCAUAUGCAUACAAAACUAAAAUAUGUUUUAAAAGCCUUGACACGACUAAAAAACAUUCCACUAUUAAUUAUUUUUUCUUGCAUUACAUUAAACAAAUGAGGUAUAACCCUGCCAACUACUCUUAAUGCCUAUAAACAACUAUGCUCUUUUUCUAAUCUUGAUUAGAUGGAGACAUAUCGAUUUAAGAUUUCAUCCAGCAGCCUUACCCACUCCAGUCUGAAAUGCUAAUGAGCCUUUCUGCCUCCUCCCCAGGGGCUCUCUCGGGCCUGAGAUAUAAUGUUCAAAGACAUUUAUUCUAUAUUCUUAAAAGAUAUCUAUCUGGAGCCCGUAUCACCACCCAGCAACAGGACACCUUUGAUCACAUCUCUAAAUUCGGAGUUGGCAAGUAGAUUGGAUUCUUGGAAAUUGACUCCUUUGCUGAAGUCUGUUGACACCAUUAUCAGCUUCGCAUCCGUCCCUCAGGAGAGUGUAAGAUAUGCUUUCCUUUUUUCUCAACAUAACACUAGGAAAUCAGCUGAACUUAUAAUCCUCUGAUUGUUUCUUCCUCCUCAGUUCAUUUAAAUCAGUUUCCUCUUAAAAACUAUCAUCAUCGUCGUCAUCAUCAUCAUCAUCAUCAUGGUCAUCUGUGUGUGUGUGCGUGCGCACACGCGUGCGUGCCUGCAUAGGCAUACGGAGGUCAAAGGACAACUUCUGGGAAUCACUUUUUGCCUUCCGCCUUGUUGAGUCAGACUGUCUUCUUUUCACUAUGCGGCACGCUUCAGGCUAGCUUCAGAGAGUCUAUCUCCCCUGUCUUCCAUGCCAUGGGUGUGCUGGGAUUCCAGACACAUCAGGACAGCAGCAGGCUUUUUACGCUCAUUACAGAGGUUGAACUCAGGUGGCCAGGCUUGCUUGGCAAGUGGUUUUCCUCACGGAGUCCUCUUGCCAGUGCACUUUUCUCUUUUGGCAGUGAAACCUUGACUUUCAAAAUUUCAUUCAGAUGCACUCUGAACAUUGUUACUAAACACUGUGACUACUCUGGUAUAUUUUCAGCUGUAAAUAUCUAUCUGGGCUUUUUUCCACUAAAGGAAUUAGUGAAAAAGAAGGCAAGGCUCAAACAUUUUAAGAUUUUAAGAGAUGUUUUGCCAGAUUUUCUGAGUAUGAAAAGUCGCCUAAUGGGUUCUACAGAGAAAGGAUGUCUGAUAUUCCAUUUGGUUCAAUAGUUUGCUUAACUUCUCACUUGCUGUUGGGUAGCUAACCAUCCACUCCCACCUUACAGAGCUGCUGAAAGGAUUAAAUGAUAGAAAGUAAUCAGGAAGCUGGCACUGGGCCCCUUGUUAUCUUUCUGUUUUGUCUAUACAGGUAAUAAAAGUCCAGUUCCCCAGGAAACUCCGCCUUAACAGCCUCCUGCCCCAUCCAGGGAUCGAUCUCUCUAGCAGCAUUCCCCAAGGCCAUGCCUUUCUUAAGGUGUAGUGAACCCUGCGUAGAUGGGAAAGUGAGGGCAAGGUCUUAUGUGCAGUUGUUCAAUAAAUGGUCAUCAGAAUCAUUAGAGAGUAAGUAAUAAAAACUCUGUAUUCUCCCCUUUCUAUUCCCUUAGAGCGGUGAUUCUCAACCUUCCUACGACUGUGACUGGCCCUUUAAUACCGUUCCUCACCAUUUCCUUAGGUCAGGGGUUCUCAACCUUCCUAAGGCUGUGACUGGCCCUUUAAUACCAUUCCUUGUGUUGUAGUGACCCCAACCAUAAAAUUAUUUUCUUUGCUAUACUAUAACUGUAAUUAUGCUACUGUUAUGAAUCAUAAUGUAAAUAUCUGUGUUUUCUGAUGGCCUCAGGGAAUCCCUAUGAAAAGGUUGUUUGACCCCCAAAGGGGUUGUGACCCACAGGUUGAGAGCUGUGACCUUUUCAGGCAGGGGGAUGGAAUGGACAAAGGCUCUGAGAUAUCAAGCCUGAUUUCAUACUCUGAUUUUGCCUGUUCCUAGCUUGGUGCCUGUGGCUGUGUGAUGCUCUGAGCCUCAUUUGCCUCAUUGACUAGAAGGGGAUGACAAUGCCUCUUCCAAUGCUGUAUUGGAAGGACCCCAGGAGGCAAAUCAUGACGACCAUUUAUCCUUAGAUAAGUGGCCAAGCAAGCUGUUUUCCAAAAGUAGAGUUUCUGUUCAUUUGAGAUAAUGACUGAAGGGAAAAUGAAAGUUUAGGUUUGAAAGGACUCUCAGUGUAAUUCCUUUUGUCUUGUUUUUACAUUUUACUUAUUUGAUUAUGUGUGUGGUAGGAGGUUCACGCCACAGCAGGCUUCUGUAAGUCAGAAGACACUGUAGAGUUAUUUCUCCCUGCCGUGUGGGUUUUGAGGAUUGAACUCAGGUCAUCAGGCUUGGUGGCAGGUGCCUUUGCACACUGAGCCAUCUCACCGGCUCUCCAUUUUCUUUUUUUCUUAAUGAGAAGUUUGAGGCUGAGAGAACUCAUGUGACCUCCCCUAGAGCACACAGUAAUUCUGUUAGAAGUAAAGACGAAACCUGGACCGCCUGGUUGUAGCACUGUCACAGAGACGCUAGAACCCCAAAAUCAGCCUCUUAGGAGAGAAGAAUGCCUUCAUGGUGUAGUUCACGUGAUGUCACUAUCCAGGAAAAAUAAGUCAGCUGGGAAAAAUUACCUGUGCCUUAAUGCAUCCGGUGAUCUGGACAGAAGAUAGAGUGAUCAGUGUGUUACCUUCCCUCUCUGGCCAGGCCACGGGGAGGGACUUCCCAAUAAUGGGUGGAGGGAGGACCUCGAGGGCAUGGGAGGUCUCCUCCCCUUCACAGUACCAGGUCCUGGUGGAACCUAGGGGGUGAGUAGGAACCCUGGGAGGUGAUAAAGGAGCUCAGAUAGUAGACAGGUAUUGUCUAAGGACAAGCUUUUCAACAACACACCACCCCAUUCCUUGGAAUGCAGACUGAGCUCCGCUCUCAGAACUUUGACCUCAAUUACUAAUAAUGACAGAAACUAAAAUCUUAUUAGAUGUCUGGCGUGAGUAAGGUCUUUGAUUUUUGAGAGGCUAAAGUGAGAGUUAAGGGCACGGUCUGCCUAAGUCUGUUGGACUCAAAUCACUUACAUCCUGGGUGAUUCUGAGAACAUUUAAGACCUUCAGUAUUUCAGUUCUAUAGCUCAAACAGAGAAUAAUAAUAAAUAAAUAAAUAAAUAAAUAAAUAAAUAAAUAAAUAAAUAAAUAAUAAUAACUUUUGUAGCUCAUUCUGAGGACCAAGUGAGCACUGGACACAUAGCAAGAAGUGUGGACAUGGUUUGUUACAAUAUUAUUAUCUCCCUAGGGCUUUUCCUCAUUCAUCUUAUUUAAAGAAGCCCUCCCUUCCAGUCACUCACUGUUAUUUUAUUGUCUUCAAAGCCUUUAUGAGUGGAAAUCUCCUACUUCUAAAUUGCUCUUUGUUUCCACUUGCAUGUAAAUGCCCUGGGAGUUGAGCUGAGUCUGAGACAUAGCAGGGCCAGCACCUACUUAUUAAAUUGGAUUAUUUCAUUGGAACUUGCUAAGUCCUAAGGAGAAAAUACUCCCUUCACCGCCAUCUGUGGAGGAGCAAGCUUAGGCACCAAAUAUUCUAUUUACUCACAGUCACCUACUGGAUUCAAACCCAAUUGGACUCAAGAGCUGUCUACUAUAGGCACCAAGCUGGACUGAAUACCCUCCCUCGAAAGCUGGUACCCAGAUCCGGGAAGGAUGUUACAUCUUGUCAACUUUCUUUUCUUUCAGUUGGACUUAAAGGUUGUGGAAAGAGUCAAUAGUUGAGCCCAUCUUCCUUCUAUAUAGGGCUCAGUCCCAAGACUUCCUGUCUUCAUCCACUGCCUUCCUACCUGGCCCCAAAGACUUUCUUUUUAUCUCUUUUUUAGGAUCACUCUCCUUCCUAUUUUUGCUUGUGAGCCUAGCCUUUUACGGUUGAGUCAUCUCUCCAGCCCAUGCUUCCUAUUUUUGUAAGUCAGAGUUUGGUUCCAGAGAUUCAGACCAACAUUGGUGAUCCAGAACAGAGAAAGACUGCUUGCCCCAAAUGAUGUGACGGACUUUGAUGAUCCCCGAUGGGAGGCCUCACCCUCCUUGGGGAAUGGAUUAGGGGGGUGGA
Mesocricetus auratus (golden hamster) is the source of this 4212-nucleotide long non-coding RNA. RefSeq lists it as uncharacterized. The transcript is spliced from 3 exons. The record is from RefSeq and is a predicted model, not a curated record. NCBI's taxonomy places the organism in Eukaryota, Metazoa, Chordata, Mammalia, Rodentia, Cricetidae.